RNAcentral lists this ribosomal RNA (576 nucleotides) under uncultured bacterium. RNAcentral describes it as "bacterial SSU rRNA". It matches the Rfam family "Bacterial small subunit ribosomal RNA", at positions 36 to 597 of the family's 1533-position model. The record is from RNAcentral.
CUGGGGGUGCUCAGACAUGCAGUCGAACGCGAAAGUCCCCUUCGGGGGAUAAGUAGAGUGGCGCACGGGUGAGUAACACGUAGGUAAUCUACCUUCGGGUGGGGAAUAACCCAGGGAAACUUGGGCUAAUACCGAUAAUGCAGCGGACCACAUGGUGACAGUUGUUAAAGCGGGGGAUCUUCGGAUCUCGCGCCUGAAGAGGAGCCUGCGGCAGAUUAGCUAGUUGGUAAGGUAACGGGUUACCAAGGCGACGAUCUGUAGCCGGCUGAGAGGGCGGUCGGCACACUGACACUGACAUACGGGUCAGACUCCUACGGGAGGCAGCAGUCGGGAAUUUUGGGCAAUGGGCGAAAGCCUGACCCAGCAACGCCGCGUGAAGGAUGAAAUCCCUCGGGAUGUAAACUUCGCAAGAAUGGGAAGAAUUAGUAGGGGUUAAUACCCUCUAUGAUGACGGUACCAUUUGUAAGCUCCGGCUAACUCCGUGCCAGCAGCCGCGGUAAUACGGGGGGAGCAAGCGUUGUUCGGAUUUACUGGGCGUAAAGGGGCGCGUAGGCGGUCAGCACAAGUCAGUUGUGA